RNAcentral lists this transfer RNA (84 nucleotides) under Felis catus (domestic cat). RNAcentral's name for it is "tRNA-OTHER". The record is from RNAcentral. Lineage: Eukaryota; Metazoa; Chordata; Mammalia; Carnivora; Felidae.
GCCUGGUUGGCUCAGCCGGUUGAACAUCUGACUUAAGCCUAGAUCAUCAUCUCACGGUUCAUGAGUUUGAGCCCCACCUUGGGC